This 488-nucleotide ribosomal RNA is filed under the name uncultured bacterium. Its description in RNAcentral is "bacterial SSU rRNA". It matches the Rfam family "Bacterial small subunit ribosomal RNA", at positions 28 to 471 of the family's 1533-position model. The record is from RNAcentral.
GAUGAACGCUGGCGGCGUGCCUAAUACAUGCAAGUCGAACGCAUUGUGGUUGAAAUGAUAUGAAGAACUUGUUCAGAUUUGAUUUUCAACAUUGCAAUGAGUGGCGAACGGGUGAGUAACACGUGGGAAACCUACCUCUUAGCAGGGGAUAACAUUUGGAAACAAAUGCUAAUACCGUAUAAUAAUUAAAACCGCAUGGUUUUAGUUUAAAAGAUGGUCUUGCUAUCACUAAGAGAUGGUCCCGCGGUGUAUUAGUUAGUUGGUGAGGUAAUGGCUCACCAAGACAAUGAUACAUAGCCGAGUUGAGAGACUGACCGGCCACAAUGGGACUGAGACACGGCCCAUACUCCUACGGGAGGCAGCAGUAGGGAAUCUUCCACAAUGGACGAAAGUCUGAUGGAGCAACGCCGCGUGUGUGAUGAAGGGUUUCGGCUCGUAAAACACUGUUGUAAGAGAGAAUGACAUUGAGAGUAACUGUUCAAUGUGUG